RNAcentral lists this ribosomal RNA (459 nucleotides) under uncultured bacterium. Its description in RNAcentral is "partial 16S ribosomal RNA". It matches the Rfam family "Bacterial small subunit ribosomal RNA", at positions 355 to 803 of the family's 1533-position model. The record is from RNAcentral.
UGGGGAAUCUUCCGCAAUGGACGAAAGUCUGACGGAGCAACGCCGCGUGUAUGACGAAGGCCUUCGGGUUGUAAAGUACUGUCUUUGGGGACGAACGGUAUCUAUGUAAAUAAUGCAGAUACAUGACGGUACCCAAGGAGGAAGCCCCGGCUAACUACGUGCCAGCAGCCGCGGUAAUACGUAGGGGGCGAGCGUUGUCCGGAAUCAUUGGGCGUAAAGGGCGCGUAGGCGGGUCAUUAAGUCUGGUGUGAAAGGCAGGGGCUCAACCCCUGGAAGGCACCGGAAACUGGUUAUCUUGAGGACAGGAGAGGAAAGCGGAAUUCCACGUGUAGCGGUGAAAUGCGUAGAUAUGUGGAGGAACACCAGUGGCGAAGGCGGCUUUCUGGACUGUAACUGACGCUGAGGCGCGAAAAGCGUGGGGAGCAAAACAGGAUUAGAUACCCUGGUAGUCCACGCCGU